RNAcentral lists this long non-coding RNA (1668 nucleotides) under Vitis vinifera (wine grape). Its description in RNAcentral is "long non-coding RNA (VVIN_LNC005316)". The record is from RNAcentral. Lineage: Eukaryota; Viridiplantae; Streptophyta; Magnoliopsida; Vitales; Vitaceae.
UUCUUCUUUUGCUAUAUUUCUUGGAUACCUAAUAGGAUAGACACAACAUUAAUAGAAAAGUAAGUAACAAGUAUCAAAAUAGCCAUUUUCAAAUUAUUUCAAUUACAAGAAUACAUCAAACAUAUAUGCAAUUUGUAGAUAUCAUAUCUCUAGCAUUAAUCUUCAAGCACUGCCCUCUAACAGGACCCCAAAAUUGCCAAUACCUCUAUCUCAAACCUAUGAUAGAAAAAACAAACCAUGUUAACAAAGAGAAAACUCAAAUUGAGAAAUUAGAUAUCUAACUACAAUUAUACAUUUUUAAGAAUGAAUUCUAAGUUUAAUUAUUGUGCUUUUUAUAUUAUGGACCUAAAUAAUUAUAAAAAUAUACUUCUUUUUAGUUUCUAAAAGGAAUGCAAAAAGGAAAAGAGAAAAAGAAAGUUCCAAAUAUAUCUUUCAUGUUAUUUUGUUUUUAAAUAGAUAAAAACUCACAUUAUCCAAGAAAUAAUUGAAAUUAAAGUUGAGCAGAAAUUUUAAUUAUCUCAAUCAUAAAUAAUGAAAUAUCUAAAUUCAAAUUCAUAGAAAUCAUACUCACUAGUAAUUUCAUGCACCAAAGGAACCCAAGUAAAAAAUUCAAGUGCAUAAAUAAAUAAAAUUAAAUAAUUAACCAUAUUAAAGAGAAAACCAUAUCACAUUAUGAAAAUUGUUUUUGUGUGCCCAAAUAUAUAGUUCUGUUUCUUCAAAUUGAAUUAAAAAUCCAAUGGUAUCCUUGUACACCUGUAAAGGAAAUAGUAGAGAUAAAAGUGCAAUCUACUCAUAAUUAUUUCAAUUAACACAUCCAAAUAUUAUAGAUCAACAUAGAAAUCAAUUUAAAGAAAAUGAAACAUCAGCCUUUACUAGCAAAAAACAAAAACAAAAGUUUAAAAAAGAACUCAUUAGAUAUCACAUUAUUUUUGGCACAACAAAAAUGAGACACACAAUUGCAUUAACCAUUGAUGCCUAUAAACUUAAUUUGAAACAUAAAAAUGAAAUUGAACAUGAAUUUCAAGUUUCAAAAUUGUGAACCAAAUAAACAUUUUGCUUGCUUACAAUAAAAUGUUAGAAAAGAAUGGGAAAAAAAAAAAAUUUAAAAUGGGAUAUUCCAAGAUUUUUUAUUUUUUAUUAUUUUUUUUUGUAGUUAUCUUCCUUAGUUUUUCUAUAAUCAAAGAGAGUAAAAGGGGGAAAGAUAAAGUGAGAGCUAAUAGAGAAGAUAACAGAGUAAAAUUCACCAAUACAUGAACAUUGUGAAAUCUUAGAAAAUAACAAACUAAAAGAACAAAUUCAAAGAAUAGGAUAUUCAAAGCUCUCACUUUAUUAGUUCUCUUUUCUUGUUGUUUCUCCACAAGCAAAUACAUAGUUGGUGGCAAUGUGCUAAGGUGCGGUGGUGGAAGUCUGUGAAAGGAAGAAGGGUGAUGAGUAAUGGUGGUAAUCGUGCGAACAUGGGAAUGACGACCAUAGGUGGCGAAUGGAAAGGAGGUGUGGUGAAGCUAAUAUGGGUGGCGAUAAGUGACUGUCAAUGAUGGGUAACAAGAAUGAUGGCAAUAAGGGUCACCAUAGUGGGAUGGUGGAAAUGGGGCCUGGUUGAUGGUGGUUGGUGUAGCCGAUGAUGAAGGAUGGCAUGGUGAAGAUGGGAAGGCGAGAGGGAGAAAGAGG